This 127-nucleotide small RNA is filed under the name Marmota monax (woodchuck). The record is from RNAcentral. Lineage: Eukaryota; Metazoa; Chordata; Mammalia; Rodentia; Sciuridae.
GCCGGGUGUGGUGGUGCUCACCUGUAAUCCUAGUGGCUGUGGAGGCUGAGGCAGGAUGAUUGUGAGUUCAAAACCAGCCUCAGCAAUUUAGCUAGGUGCUAAGCAAUUCAGUGAGACCCUGUCUCUA